AUAGGAGGUCCCGCCUGCCCUGUGACCAAAAGUUUAACGGCCGCGGUAUUUUAACCGUGCAAAGGUAGCGCAAUCAAUUGUCUUUUAAAUGGAGACCUGUAUGAAUGGCAUAACGAGGGUUUUACUGUCUCUUUUUUCUGGUCAAUGAAACUGAUCUGCCCGUGCAGAAGCGGGCAUAAUAACACAAGACGAGAAGACCCUAUGGAGCUUUAGACGCCCACCAACCGCGAAGAGCACCCCGACGACGGGCCACCAAAUAACGCGACCAUGGUAUAAACGUCUUCGGUUGGGGCGACCACGGGGGAACACAAAGCCCCCGAGAGGAUUGGGGAUCCAACCCUAAAACCAAGAGCCACAGCUCUAAGUCACAAAACAUUUGACCCAGAAUGAUCCGGCUCAUUGCCGAUCAACGGACCAAGUUACCCUAGGGAUAACAGCGCAAUCCUCUCCCAGAGUCCAUAUCGACGAGGGGGUUUACGACCUCGAUGUUGGAUCAGGACAUCCUAAUGGUGCAGCCGCUAUUAAGGGUUCGUUUGUUCAACGAUUAAGUCCUACGUGAUCUGA
Molecule: ribosomal RNA, 564 nt
Filed under: Sardinella fimbriata (fringescale sardinella)
Lineage: Eukaryota; Metazoa; Chordata; Actinopteri; Clupeiformes; Clupeidae
Description: partial 16S ribosomal RNA
Rfam family: Bacterial large subunit ribosomal RNA
Source: RNAcentral